RNAcentral lists this ribosomal RNA (446 nucleotides) under uncultured bacterium. Its description in RNAcentral is "partial 16S ribosomal RNA". It matches the Rfam family "Bacterial small subunit ribosomal RNA", at positions 338 to 795 of the family's 1533-position model. The record is from RNAcentral.
CCUACGGGUGGCAGCAGUCGAGAAUCAUUCACAAUGGGGGAAACCCUGAUGGUGCGACGCCGCGUGGGGGAAUGAAGGUCUUCGGAUUGUAAACCCCUGUCAUGUGGGGGCAAAUUAAAAAGAUAGUACCACAAGAGGAAGAGACGGCUAACUCUGUGCCAGCAGCCGCGGUAAUACAGAGGUCUCAAGCGGUGUUCGGAAUCACUGGGCGUAAGGCGUGCGUAGGCUGUUUCGUAAGUCGUGUGUGAAAGGCGCGGGCUCAACCCGCGGACGGCACAUGAUACUGCGAGACUAGAGUAAUGGAGGGGGAACCGGAAUUCUCGGUGUAGCAGUGAAAUGCGUAGAUAUCGAGAGGAACACUCGUGGCGAAGGCGGGUUCCUGGACAUUAACUGACGCUGAGGCACGAAGGCCAGGGGAGCGAAAGGGAUUAGAUACCCCUGUAGUC